RNAcentral lists this ribosomal RNA (253 nucleotides) under uncultured bacterium. RNAcentral describes it as "partial 16S ribosomal RNA". It matches the Rfam family "Bacterial small subunit ribosomal RNA", at positions 524 to 776 of the family's 1533-position model. The record is from RNAcentral.
UACGUAGGGGGCAAGCGUUGUCCGGAUUUAUUGGGCGUAAAGAGCGUGUAGGCGGCCUGACAGGUCUGCUGUGAAAACUCGAGGCUCAACCUCGAGAUGGCGGCGGAAACCGUCUGGCUAGAGUCCGGAAGAGGAGAGUGGAAUUCCUGGUGUAGCGGUGAAAUGCGCAGAUAUCAGGAAGAACACCUAUGGCGAAGGCAGCUCUCUGGGACGGUACUGACGCUGAGGCACGAAAGCGUGGGGAGCAAACAGG